This 91-nucleotide transfer RNA is filed under the name Amycolatopsis sp. DG1A-15b. Its description in RNAcentral is "tRNA-Ser". It matches the Rfam family "tRNA". Rfam says of the family: Transfer RNA (tRNA) molecules are approximately 80 nucleotides in length. Their secondary structure includes four short double-helical elements and three loops (D, anti-codon, and T loops). Further hydrogen bonds mediate the characteristic L-shaped molecular structure. tRNAs have two regions of fundamental functional importance: the anti-codon, which is responsible for specific mRNA codon recognition, and the 3' end, to which the tRNAs corresponding amino acid is attached (by aminoacyl-tRNA synthetases). tRNAs cope with the degeneracy of the genetic code in two manners: having more than one tRNA (with a specific anti-codon) for a particular amino acid; and 'wobble' base-pairing, i.e. permitting non-standard base-pairing at the 3rd anti-codon position. Lineage: Bacteria; Bacillati; Actinomycetota; Actinomycetes; Pseudonocardiales; Pseudonocardiaceae. The record is from RNAcentral.
GGAGGGCUGGCCGAGCCAGGCAAGGCACCGGGUUGCUACCCCGUGGUCCGGGGCCGAGGUCCCGGCGCGCGGUCGAAUCGCGCGCCCUCCG